This is a long non-coding RNA of Oryzias melastigma (Indian medaka), 1006 nucleotides long. RefSeq lists it as uncharacterized. The transcript has 2 exons. The record is from RefSeq and is a predicted model, not a curated record. Lineage: Eukaryota; Metazoa; Chordata; Actinopteri; Beloniformes; Adrianichthyidae.
UGAUGGAAACGGUAGAGAAGGUAGCUCUAGCAGCACACCAGAGUCCUGCAAACCGGAGAGAAACGAACAAAAUUGUCCUCUUUACGUAUCUUUUCCCGUGCUUUAAGAUAACCAGAUGAGGCUACUGUGUUCAUAAAGGAGCAAAAGAUUCACUGUGAUGUCGUCGCUUUGGAGAAUGCAGAAAUGGCACUUCACAUUCCUGUCUGUGGAGUCUGCAACACAUCAUGGCAGAAAAGCAGUUUUUGCUGAUUUUUCUCUUCCCAUCAGACACUAGACUACAUCGCUUUUUGGACACUGUUAUAGUUAAUAUUUUUAAGUGGAUUUAAUGGAGCUUUGACCUGUUGAGGAAUCAAUCAGGUCUAAUUUCAGUCUUUUCUGUCUAAACUUUUUUUUUUUGCUAGAACUACUGUAAAGUCUUGAUUUUGUUAAUUUUGUCUUUUUUCUUUAUACGUGUGACAGCACACAGAGAACACCUGUUGAUAACUGACAACUUUUCCUUCUAAUUUGACUAACUGCUUUUGUCAAUUUUCAAUAAAUAUGUAUAAUUAUACACCUUUUAUAAGUUACUUUUACUUUCAGUGUUUGUUUGCAUAACAGAAGCAUGAAUUGAUAGCAACCUAAGAUCAAAGAAAUGCAACUGUAAAAUCAACACAAUUUCCAUUAUAUUUGUAGCUUUUUGAAAUAUUCUCUCUCUUGCAUUACAUGGGUUAGUUCUGCCCUUGUUAAUUUUGGUGCCUGCUCUUUAAAUAUAUCCAUAUGGUUCAAAAAGCUGUUAUUGUUACAAAGGCUCAGCCCAUAGUGAUGAUGUCACAGGACGCAACUGUGCGUUUUCUUCUUCAGUGGUUUUGUGUGCGUUCAUCCAGUCGGUUUCGGUUUGGCACGUGCCGGAGGCAGCAGCAGAGAGAGAACCUGAGUGUGUUAGAAUCCUGAGUUUAGUUUGGGUGCACCUCAGUUGCUUUAUUUUAAGUAUUUGAACAAACCACUGGAAUAAAUUCAGAACAUCUGC